Molecule: long non-coding RNA, 369 nt
Organism: Temnothorax curvispinosus
Lineage: Eukaryota; Metazoa; Arthropoda; Insecta; Hymenoptera; Formicidae
Exons: 2
Source: RefSeq, a predicted model, not a curated record
GCUUUUGCUCAUGGUUUUGCCGAGCCUUUGGCCGAGGCUUUCGCCAACCCUAGUGCUCUAGCUGAAGCUUUGGCCGAGGCUUUUGCUAAACCUUUUGCCGAUGCUUUUGCCAACCCUGCGCUUUUGCCACCAGCAGUGAAAAGUUUGCUAAAUAAGUUUAUUAAGAUUUAAGGAAAAACUCAAGAUGGAAUACGAAAAACUGGGUCUUAUCACCAGUAGAUUAUGUUAAGCACAAAGUGGAAAAAUAUUUGUUUAAUAAAAAAUCUAAAAAAGCAAUGAGAUUUUAUUAAUGUCAUUGUAAUACAUUAUUGGCGUUAUAUUUGUAAAAAUAAACGUAUUAAUUCCAAAUAAAUACAGCAGCAAAUUAAA